This is a long non-coding RNA of Oncorhynchus tshawytscha (Chinook salmon), 502 nucleotides long. NCBI's taxonomy places the organism in Eukaryota, Metazoa, Chordata, Actinopteri, Salmoniformes, Salmonidae. The record is from Ensembl.
CUGGUGUGGGUAGGCGUCUCCAGAACCCAACAGUCUCUUGUUUUGGUCAAACAGCAUCCAGAGCUGAGAGUCAAACUCUGAUUCAUACAACUGGUCACACAUUACUGGACAGCUGGGGGUCACCUCUCCUGACUUAGGCUGGGGAGAGAGGUGGAGAGGUAGAGAGGUCAGACACACAGUACUGGACAGCUGGGGAGAGAGGUAGAGAGGUCAGACAGUACUGGACAGCUGGGGAGAGAGGUAGAGAGGUCAGACUGUACUGGACAGCUGGGGAGAGAGGUAGAGAGUACAGACAGUACUGGACAGCUGGGGAGAGAGGUAGAGAGGUCAGACAGUACUGGACAGCUGGGGAGAGAGGUAGAGAGGUCAGACAGUACUGGACAGCUGGGGAGAGAGGUAGAGAGGUCAGACAGUACUGGACAGCUGGGGAGAGAGGUAGAGAGGUAGAGAGGUCAGACACACAGUACUGGACAGCUGGGGAGAGAGGUAGAGAGGUCAGACA